This 301-nucleotide ribosomal RNA is filed under the name uncultured bacterium. RNAcentral's name for it is "partial 16S ribosomal RNA". It matches the Rfam family "Bacterial small subunit ribosomal RNA", at positions 509 to 807 of the family's 1533-position model. The record is from RNAcentral.
CAGUAGCCGCGGUAAUACGGAGGGUGCAAGCGUUACUCGGAAUCACUGGGCGUAAAGGACGCGUAGGCGGAUUAUCAAGUCUCUUGUGAAAUCUAACGGCUUAACCGUUAAACUGCUUGGGAAACUGAUAAUCUAGAGUAAGGGAGAGGCAGAUGGAAUUCUUGGUGUAGGGGUAAAAUCCGUAGAUAUCAAGAAGAAUACCUAUUGCGAAGGCGAUCUGCUGGAACUUAACUGACGCUAAUGCGUGAAAGCGUGGGGAGCGAACGGGAUUAGAUACCCGGGUAGUCCCUGUCUCUUAUAC